RNAcentral lists this ribosomal RNA (498 nucleotides) under uncultured bacterium. Its description in RNAcentral is "partial 16S ribosomal RNA". It matches the Rfam family "Bacterial small subunit ribosomal RNA", at positions 28 to 507 of the family's 1533-position model. The record is from RNAcentral.
GACGAACGCUGGCGGCGUGCCUAAUACAUGCAAGUCGUGCGGACCUUUUAAAAGCUUGCUUUUAAAAGGUUAGCGGCGGACGGGUGAGUAACACGUGGGCAACCUGCCUGUAAGACUGGGAUAACGCCGGGAAACCGGGGCUAAUACCGGAUCGUUUCUCCUCCCCAUGGGGGGAAAAGAAAAGUCGGCUUCGGCUGCCACUUACAGAUGGUCCCGCGGCGCAUUAGCGAGUUGGCGGGGUAAAGGCCCACCAAGGCAAGGAUGCGUAGCCGACCGGCGAGGGUGAUCGGCCACAUUGGGACGGAGACACGGCCCAAACGCCUACGGGAGGCAGCAGUAGGGAAUCUUGCGCAAGGGACGAGAGUCUGACGGAGCAACGCCGCGUGAGGGAAGAAGGCCGUCGGGUCGUAAAACUCUGUUGCCGGGGAAGAACAAGUGCCGUCCGAACAGGGCGGCGCCUUGACGGUACCCGGCCAGAAAGCCACGGCUAACUACGUG